This 330-nucleotide unclassified non-coding RNA is filed under the name uncultured fungus. Its description in RNAcentral is "partial contains small subunit ribosomal RNA, internal transcribed spacer 1, and 5.8S ribosomal RNA". The stretch from base 1 to 134 matches the Rfam family "Eukaryotic small subunit ribosomal RNA", at positions 1759 to 1831 of the family's 1831-position model. Lineage: Eukaryota; Fungi. The record is from RNAcentral.
GCAAACUUGGUCAUUUAGAGGAAGUAAAAGUCGUAACAAGGUCUCCGUAGGUGAGUGACGACUUCGACCAUCCACGUGCCCACGCGAGCGGCGAUGCUAACAGCUUUCCAGGUGAACCUGCGGAGGGAUCAUUACCGAGCGAGGGCCUCGCGCCCGACCUCCAACCCUUUGAAGUUACCAACUCAGUUGCCUCGGGGGCGAACCGGACGUCGCGCCGGCGCCCCCGGCGGACCACACCACUCUGCGUUCUUGCGUCGGAGUCUGAGGGGAAUUUGAAUCAAAACUUUCAACAACGGAUCUCUUGGUUCUGGCAUCGAUGAAGAACGCAGC